This 259-nucleotide unclassified non-coding RNA is filed under the name fungal sp. RNAcentral describes it as "partial internal transcribed spacer region". The stretch from base 1 to 46 matches the Rfam family "Eukaryotic small subunit ribosomal RNA", at positions 1786 to 1831 of the family's 1831-position model. The record is from RNAcentral. Lineage: Eukaryota; Fungi.
AAGUCGUAACAAGGUUUCCGUAGGUGAACCUGCGGAAGGAUCAUUAAAAAAUAAUGGCUAGCAUACUUUUAAGCGUGCGAAUCGUUGAAACCAUUUCUGUGUACAUUUUUUUCCGCGUUGCUUUCGCAGAUGAAUUUCAUCUGCGAAAGGUUAUGGAUUGUAAAAUUCUCGUUGUGUUUACGUGUAUUAAAACUAUCUACCAUCCGAAACAUACAAACAAAACAUUUAAAAACUUUCAACAACGGAUCUCUUGGUUCUC